Molecule: small RNA, 182 nt
Filed under: Gopherus agassizii (Agassiz's desert tortoise)
Lineage: Eukaryota; Metazoa; Chordata; Testudines; Testudinidae
Description: TUC338 (ENSGAGG00000015881.1)
Source: RNAcentral
CCGACAGCGCUGGAGAGCAGAGGCCUCUCCCUCCAGAAAGAAGGAGCCUGGGCAAGGCACAACUUCCCCUCUGCCAUAUAUACAGCUCACUGCCAAAAUAGCCCCAUCCUUGACCUGGAGAAAUCCCCUGUCCCGGUGGGAGGAGAUUUCAGUCUCCGUGACCCACUCAGUCCUUGGCAGGA